This 533-nucleotide unclassified non-coding RNA is filed under the name Hevea brasiliensis (rubber tree). The record is from RNAcentral. Lineage: Eukaryota; Viridiplantae; Streptophyta; Magnoliopsida; Malpighiales; Euphorbiaceae.
AAACCCCAUGCUCCAAUUCUCCAAACGCCUAGCCUCCAAAGGACUCAAAGUCACACUACUCUCCUUCACAGACAAAGAGUGGAGAAAAGCUGCAGAACAUGGCUCUGUUAAUGUCCAGAUAAUUUUCGAUGAUACUCUUUUUGCUGAAAUUACUGAUCAAGAAGAUACUGUGUAUAUAAAUAACUUGUAUGCUACAGUGAAGCGCAGAUUACCAGAAGUCGUUGCUAAACAUGGUGAGUCUGGCUACCCAAUAAGUUGCCUUGUCUAUGACUCGUUGAUGCCUUGGGCUCUGGAUAUAGCCACGGAGCUGGGGCUCCUUGGAGCUACUCUCUUCACGCAAUCUCUUGCUGUUAGUAACUUAUAUUAUGAAGUUCAUCAAGGAAAGCUAAAGGUUCCUGUUGAGAAGACAGCUGUAGCAGUAGAAGGGAUGCCGCCACUUGAAAUCCAUGACCUACCCACUUUCCUUUCCGACUUGGAAAGCUACCCACUCUUAUUAAAACUAAGAGCUGGUCAGUUUUCCAAUAUUGGAGAAG